GUUGCAUGGUUGAUUACAUGGACACAAUCGGCACCGAAGAAAAUGGAGUUCAUGUUCAUGUUUGUCUGUUUGCCGAAAAUUGGCUUUAAAAAGCAGAACGUAAAUUAAUCUUAAGUUAACAUAAGGUCAAGUCAUUGGAAUGCGACUGCAAUACACAUUCUGAGGUCACGAAGGUUCAUACAACACUCGUCAACAGCAGCUGACAAACGUAGUCCUGAAGUGGGCGGAGCUUAAAUCGAUAUCUAUAUAGUAUACAAAUAGAUGCUAGCGAUAUAUGUUGGGAUGUAUAUAUAUAUAUAUAUGAUAAGACAUACAAUUGCAGAAUAUAUAUUACUUUUCGUUUUUAUCCUGCAAUUUGAUGUCUUAUUAUACAUAUACAUGUACAGCUCAACAGAUAUCGCUAGCAUGUAUUUGUCUGGUGUAUAAGAUUAUAAUCAUGAUAUAUAUGGUGAGUGUAUUUAUAUUAUUACAUUGCAAAUGUUAUACAUUCAAAAUGUUUUAAACAGAAUAGAAAACAAUAAACACAUUAUUAAUGGUAUCAUAUAUAUUCUACAUAGGGGUCUCUGUGGGUUAAACGUAUAGUUUAACUCUGCUCAUCGAUGAGUCCUGUAUCUAUACCAUUUAAGCAUAAUAUCGGCAACUCCAGUAAUU
Molecule: long non-coding RNA, 651 nt
Filed under: Mytilus galloprovincialis (Mediterranean mussel)
Lineage: Eukaryota; Metazoa; Mollusca; Bivalvia; Mytilida; Mytilidae
Source: RNAcentral